Molecule: transfer RNA, 65 nt
Filed under: Oides maculatus
Lineage: Eukaryota; Metazoa; Arthropoda; Insecta; Coleoptera; Chrysomelidae
Description: tRNA-Ser
Source: RNAcentral
AGUUAAUGAACUUGUGUAUAAAGUAUAUAUUUUGAAAAUAUAAAAAAGAGAUUUUCUAUUAACUU